Molecule: long non-coding RNA, 2426 nt
Organism: Zalophus californianus (California sea lion)
Lineage: Eukaryota; Metazoa; Chordata; Mammalia; Carnivora; Otariidae
Exons: 3
Source: RefSeq, a predicted model, not a curated record
UUUGGGGUAGGCGAGCGCCUUCCUCUUCGCCCCCCAAAGGCCACCUGAGCACAUCCUUCUGUCGUCUCCAGGGGUAGAGGGAACCACCUGGUAGCCUCUGCCGGCGCCAGCUCAGACCAGACUCACUGACGACCAGGAAGGAACCAUGCAGGCAUCGCAACAAGAGGAAGCAAGGAAUCUGGAGACGAAGAAAAUAGCAAGGAGGUGUUUGGACCUGCAGAGAGGGUUUAAAGAAAAUGCUUGUCCAACCCCUGCUCCUCAGUGGGGGAGGGGAGCGCUGUGGGGCUUUGGGGCAAGACCAUUCUUGCAGGCCUACUGAGGACAGGCUGGGCCGCACUGCAGGGGGUUUGGCAUCCCUAGCUCCCCAUGCACAAAUGCCCCUAGCACCUCCCCAUCUUUGGGACAACCCAAAUGCCACCACUUAUAUCCAAAUACUCCUGAGAUUGAGGUGCCUCUUUAGGUUGAAAACCACUGCUGGAUCAUCUCUUAAAAUAUAUUACAAAAAACAUGAAUUCGUUCCUUGAGAUGUAGCUGCUGCGAUAUGAAGAGUUUCAUGGUCAACAUCAUGCUGGGUUGGGGAAAUGGUAGGUUAAAAAGGGGGAAGAGAAUUUCUUUAUGACAGGACUUCUCAGAACCUUUAGUAUAGAAAUGUGUGUUUUGAAUGAUCAAAAUUCCCCAAUCUAACUGACAAUGGAAUUCUUUCUCCUUGGGACUCACAUUGGGGGGCCCACCUUGGAUAACUCUUGGCUAUACUGUAUCCCCCAGAGCACCCCGUGGUGACUUCUGUAUCUUCCACCAUGUGCAGCAGAGGGGUGAGCCCUCAGAAGGCCCUUAUAUUUUGACUGAACUGAACUCUGGCAAACCAGAAGGUGUGAAGCUACCAGGAAGGAGGCCAGAGGACCCGGAAACCACUGCAAAGAUGACCUCACAAAGGAACCAGUGUGGUGGGGCUUCUGGGGCGCUCACGGGGAUGCACCCUGCUUCUGAGAGGGAGCAGGCUGACAAGGCGCCUUGGGCUUGCACGGUUGGGGGAAACUAAAAUAGCCCCGGUGGUUGGAAGAGAAGUAUGUGUGGAUGAAAUUAUUCAAAUGCUGACAGAUGGAUUCGAGGUCUCCUUCCUGCUGGCCUGGCAGCCGCUGUGUAGAAAACCUUGCCUGGGAGAUGGAUCCUGGCAGCUCUGCCUGGCCAACUUUUUUGCUCACAGGUCACAGUCAAGCUUAUUAAACUUGGAUGACAGUAAACCAAUGACUAACUGGAUAAUUGAAGCCACAAGUCAGGAGGCCUGGGUGGAUCCCUCCUCUGGAAUCUCCAGUGGCCUGUUCCAUAGGCAAACCCCGCUCGCUCUCCCCACAGCAGAAAUGCUUCUGUGAAUUAAAAACCCUCUGUGUGACCUCCACCUCUUCUUGAAGUCACUUCUCCAUUUAUCCAUUGCUUCAUGCCCCCACCGCACCGUCCCUGUCCACCCCAAGGAAGGAGGAAAUCUAACCACACUCCCCCACACUGCUGCGUGGACAGGAACAUGACAAAAGAUUUCCAACUAAAACCAAAGUUACUCAGCAGAGCUUCCUGCCUGGCUGACGUGCUGGAGGACAUAAGCAGACUAACACAUAGCCCAAGCCAACCAGGAGACCUGCAGACUGAUGAGGAAGGCAUUGGAGACCAAGAAACCUGACAGAGUUCCAAACCACAAUGCAAAGUAAAAAAGAUGGGCGUCCUGUGAAGCGGGUCCCAAGCCUCAGUCCUGCCCUGGAUGUCACCAUCUGCCUCAAGCCUCCCUUGAGGGGCCUUGAAGAUGCUCAGCCCGGAGCCUCUGCUGGGGCCGGGUUUCCUGGCCGGCCCGGCCUCAGGGCGGCCGAGGAAGUGCUGUGGAGAGCUGAGUGAGGCAGACGGGCCACAAGGUGCCGGUGAGCACAGUGCGCACACCCACGGGGGACUGCAGGGAGCUGGCUGAGGACAGAGGAAGCCGCAGUGUGGCCCACCCCCACUGCAGAAGUGGCUUUCUCAUCCCCCUGAUUCGCCAAAUGCACUACAACUAAAAAAUACCGAUUGUGCCUAACUCUGAAGGCAGGCCCUCACCUGUGUGUAUGUCCUACCAGAGUUCUUUGUUUCCGGGGAGAAACAGAAGCUACAAACAUCACAUUCCUUUCUGGGUUGAAUUACUGCUGUUUAAAAAGUCAAAGGGAAAAAAGGAAAGUCGAUCCUUCUAUUAACAGAGAAAUUUUCAACGAGAACAGUGUGAUUUCUGGCCAGUUGCUGAUGGCCGGUUUUCCAGAAGAGAAUGAUGUGCUCAUGAGGCAGUUAUUAAGUGUGAUGACAACCACCAAUUUAGUGAAGCGUCAAUGGCUUGUUUGUUUAUUUUUGUUUAUUUUUAAAUAUUGAAAUAUUUAAUUUCAAUUAAAUUUGGGCGCCUGGGUGGCUCAGUUGGU